Molecule: ribosomal RNA, 274 nt
Filed under: uncultured bacterium
Lineage: Bacteria
Description: partial 16S ribosomal RNA
Rfam family: Bacterial small subunit ribosomal RNA
Source: RNAcentral
AGACGGAGGGUGCUAGCGUUGUUCGGAAUCAUUGGGCGUAAAGGGCGUGUAGGCGGAUCGUUAAGUCAUGCGUGAAAGCCCUCGGCUUAACCGAGGAAGGGCGUAUGAUACUGGCGACCUAGAGUUCGGAAGAGGGGGGUGGAAUUCCAGGUGUAGCGGUGAAAUGCGUAGAUAUCUGGAGGAACACCGGUGGCGAAGGCGACCCCCUGGUCCGACACUGACGCUGAGACGCGAAAGCGUGGGUAGCAAACAGGAUUAGAUACCCCGGUAGUCC